RNAcentral lists this ribosomal RNA (501 nucleotides) under uncultured bacterium. RNAcentral describes it as "bacterial SSU rRNA". It matches the Rfam family "Bacterial small subunit ribosomal RNA", at positions 19 to 518 of the family's 1533-position model. The record is from RNAcentral.
AUGGCUCAGGAUGAACGCUGGCGGCGUGCUUAAUACAUGCAAGUCGAACGAAGCACUUAUGACAGAUCCCCUCGGGGUGAAGACGUUGUGACUGAGUGGCGGACGGGUGAGUAACGCGUGGGUAACCUGCCUUAUGCAGGGGGACAACAGUUGGAAACGACUGCUAAUACCGCAUAAGCGCACGGCACCGCAUGGUGCAGUGUGAAAAGAUUUAUCGGCAUAAGAUGGACCCGCGUCUGAUUAGGUAGUUGGUGAGGUAACGGCCCACCAAGCCGACGAUCAGUAGCCGACUUGAGAGAGUGAUCGGCCACAUUGGGACUGAGACACGGCCCAGACUCCUACGGGAGGCAGCAGUAGGGAAUAUUGCACAAUGGGGGAAACCCUGAUGCAGCCGACGCCGCGUGAGUGAUGAAGUAUUUCGGUACGUAAAGCUCUAUCAGCAGGGAAGAUAAUGACGGUACCUGACUAAGAAGCCCCGGCUAACUACGUGCCAGCAGCGGC